RNAcentral lists this long non-coding RNA (281 nucleotides) under Setaria viridis. RNAcentral's name for it is "long non-coding RNA (SVIR_LNC007596)". Lineage: Eukaryota; Viridiplantae; Streptophyta; Magnoliopsida; Poales; Poaceae. The record is from RNAcentral.
GAGGGAUGAGAGUUGAGUUGCGGUUGUACUGAAUACUUGACCUACAGUAAAAGGAAGCGGCUAAUUUGGUGCGAAGUGUCUUGGGCCACACUACUAGAUGUGUAUGCAGAUCUAAUCAAAAUUCGGGUGGUUUUUGUGAAUUAGAAAAAUGUAAAAAGUAUUACAAUUUUAGUGUCUAUUUUUCUUUUGUUUUCAGAGGACUUAGUGAUGUAUAAUAAUAUGCAUUCUAGUCCAAGAUAAUGAUUCAGGUGAAAUAUAUAAUGUUGAAAACAAUCCAGAGC